UACGUAGGGGUCGAGCGUUGUCCGGACUUACUGGGCGUAAAGCGUGGGUAGGUGGCCACUGAUGUGCCGUGUGAAAGCGCCGCGCUUCUCGCGGCGAGGUCGCGGUAGACACAGUGGCUCGAGGCACGGAGAGGGGCGUAGAAUUCCCGGUGUAGUGGUGAAAUGCGUAGAUAUCGGGAGGAACACCUGCGGUGUAGACGGCUUACUGGACCGUGACUGACGCUGAGGCACGAAAGCGUGGGUAGCAAACAGG
Molecule: ribosomal RNA, 253 nt
Filed under: uncultured bacterium
Lineage: Bacteria
Description: partial 16S ribosomal RNA
Rfam family: Bacterial small subunit ribosomal RNA
Source: RNAcentral